Molecule: long non-coding RNA, 2489 nt
Organism: Spinacia oleracea (spinach)
Lineage: Eukaryota; Viridiplantae; Streptophyta; Magnoliopsida; Caryophyllales; Amaranthaceae
Exons: 2
Source: RefSeq, a predicted model, not a curated record
AAUAAAUAAUUAAAUAUCUUGUUUAACAUUCGUCCAAUCGUCCUCCCUUACUCCGCUUUUGCUGCUCUAUGCUCCAAGCUCUAAAGAAAGGAAACAAAAUCGUUCCUCUUUUGUUCCUCCGCCUUUCAUGGCUUAUUUUUCUCUCUAAAUUUUUUUGAUAACUCUGAAUUCUUCUGGAUUUCUAAAAAUCGGGAGGGAAGUUUUUCAAUUUUCAACAAUUAUUUCCCCCCAAAAAGACCCCCGAAGUAUUUGGGAUAUGUAAACUACAACUAGGUUUUUUUUUUUAAUUUCCCCCUUAAACCAUCGUCUUUGAGUGGAUAAUUGUCGACAAUUUAAAUUCUUCCUUCCCUCGCGGACUUCAUAACCGAUUUGCGAUGAAUUGAACUAGCUUGCACGAAUUCAGGUAUUUUCUGAAAUCUUCCAUUAAUUUUACUGUACUUUGGGUUAAUUUGUCAAAUGUGGAUUGCAUUGAUUUUCAAUUGACACAAUAUUUUAUUUGUGGAAAUUUGGGUGAUUUUAUUUGUUUGUGUGGAGGGUUGAUUUGUUGGUGAUGGCAGCAGCUUUAAUUUGUUGAAUGCUUGUAUGCAGAGUUGCGUAGGUGUCAAACUUAGAAUUGGCCAUAUUAUCUCAGUUCCGAGACUGGAAGUCUGUUUACACCUAACAUAUGAGUUGCAUAUAUAUUUUAUUAUGUUUCACGAGUACUACAUGAAUAAUAAGCUGUACUUUUCACUAGAAUUUCUUCAAUUUAUUGUACAAAUCUGCAAUCUGAGAUUAUCGAUGUUCUGAUUCAUACUGAAUAUUAAUGUUUUGUUCCCGUCAAUUCUUGUUGCUCUAUCUCGUUUUUCAAUUUUCACUUCAAUUAAAAUCAAUUUCUCAAUUUGAUUUAAUUCUGAUUAUGUGUAUGAAAUUCUGCCUGAGUUUAUUAUCAGUAAUCAUUCUACAUAGCAGUCUCUACUUAUCCAGCUUAUGAGAUUAUGCUUUACCACCAAAUCAUUUGAGUACCAGUGGGGAAUGAUCUGAUAAAUCUGGAAAAACCAGAAACUUAAUGAGACCUAAAAACACGAAAAUAUGCGUUGUGAAUAGACUUAUUUUGGCAUAAUGAAUCAAGGAACUGCAGAGAAGCCUCACAUUACGGUCACCUGUUUCACCUUUAUCAACAAGUUAAUCCACAAUGCUUAGUUCACCUUGACCCAGAUCUGUUAUACCAACAGCAUGCUCACUGUACACCAGUUUCUAAAUAUUUUACCACCAAAAACAACGUUGGGGUUUAAGCUCGCUCUGAUUGCAAAAUGAUACAAUGUCUUCACUAAGAACGCCACUGCUGGAACUCAUUUCACCGUAUUGUCUCUCAUAAGCACACUGAGCAUUCUCUGCAUUACAUGUACAGUCAAGAUUGCAUUUACAGGAUGAUAGGUGUUUGAAUGAUCUGGUUGGAAUUUCUGGUCCUAAAGGUAGAAAAAUUAGGGCGUGGCACCAUAGUGACGUAGUAAAAUGAAAUAGGAGGAGGGGGGGGAGGUGUCAGUAUCCUAGGCAACCAUGACCAUGUGUCAGAUGUCAACUUAUGAAGGAGAGACUUAUUCAGCAAUUCAUAUCUAGAUGCCAAAACUGUAAAAACUAGUUUCAAGACAUGCUCUAGGUCUGAAAUUUAAUUAGCACUUCAUGUAUAGAUGCCAAGACUGUGAUUGGCAUACUUUCCUUCACACACAAAGGGAAAGGUGGAAUUGAGGUAAAGGGAGAAGAGAUGGUACACAAGUCAGAUAAUCAGUAAGUUUCAGUGACAUUUCUGGUUUAUAUUUUAUUUAGAAUUUUAAAUGCUACAUUUCUGGUUUUUAUUUAUUAUAAACAAUAAUUUUGGAACAACCCUUUCCCCAGGUUCCGUAGUGGUGACAACAUGUUUUAGUGUAAUGUGUAGUGUUCAAUGCGAUUUUCGAAGUUUGGUUUGUUUAACGUGGUCCACCAGUUUGACUUUUGGGCCAGUAUUAGAAGGUUCUGUUGCUGUAUGGUGGGGUGCUGACCAGGUUUGAGUCUGCUAGUUCAGUAAAGGAAAAUGGUCAGAGGCUUGGUCAGGUUGGUGCUACAGUUGAUGGUCUGUGGUGCUGGCUACUAACUAACUGUUGGUAUGGGGAGUGCAUUCAACAAUCAAAUGCGGCCAAGGAUGAAUCUGAAGAGUUCAAAGUAAUAAGAUCAAAGGAGGAGGGAACAAAAACAACUUUAUUCCACCUAUGUCAGUUCCUAGGUUAUUCAGACUAAGAUCGAACAAGGAAAAACAAGCAAAACCUGGAACAAGAGAAGUGGAAACAAUUAAAGCAACCCUCUCAACAUUACAAGAAGGUUCAUUUUAUAUGCUCAUUACGGUUUGCAUGUUAUUUCAUAUAUGAUUAAAGUACACAUUUAUUAGUACUUGACGAAUCUAUAAUCCCCGUUUGCUAGAAAUUCAGCGAAAAACACGUUAAAGGAUGAUCAAAAGAUUCAAAACAAUAGUAUUGGUA